AUUAAGAAGCUAUGAACCAGCAUUAGCCUUUUAAGCUAAAGAAAGAGGGACCCCACCCUCCUUAAUGA
RNAcentral lists this transfer RNA (68 nucleotides) under Tangara mexicana. RNAcentral's name for it is "tRNA-Lys". The record is from RNAcentral. Lineage: Eukaryota; Metazoa; Chordata; Aves; Passeriformes; Thraupidae.